This 502-nucleotide long non-coding RNA is filed under the name Homo sapiens (human). Its description in RNAcentral is "HSALNT0145912". Lineage: Eukaryota; Metazoa; Chordata; Mammalia; Primates; Hominidae. The record is from RNAcentral.
AAUUUCCCCUCUCUGUGCAUUUGUUUGUGAGAUAGCCCACUUGCUCCUCAUCCCACUGACAAAACACCAAGACACCUCACAGCUGCUGACCACAAAUAUCCCAAAUGAUCAACACCAGGGUCAUGUAAAUAAAUUCUCCACUUCCCACGUGUUUCUGUAAACUAGCCAAUCCACAACCCCUGAGGGAAAACCUAAGUGUUAUCACACGUGGACCUUAAUAAGGGCAUAGUCCCAAAUGCUUUUAUUGAGAGGUCCACGGGUCGUCUUUUUCUCUCCCCUUACCUGCAGGCUGGGCUCCCUUCCACCUCUUCUCACUGGCCUCCUGUUUGUACCCCUGACCUCUCCGGGAUCUGGAUCCCAACACUGUCUUCUGCAAUGAAAACCCUGAUUUUCUAUAUCUGGACAAAAGACUAGGACAUAACGAGAAUUUUAGCGGAAGGAACUGAGGGAGAGAGAUUGCACAGCAGACAAGGACAAAUAAAGGGAAGGUGGAAACAAGGGU